Long non-coding RNA from Telopea speciosissima, 161 nucleotides. RefSeq lists it as uncharacterized. NCBI's taxonomy places the organism in Eukaryota, Viridiplantae, Streptophyta, Magnoliopsida, Proteales, Proteaceae. The transcript has 3 exons. The record is from RefSeq and is a predicted model, not a curated record.
AUCAAGAGAUGGUGACGAGGGAAUCGAUGCUUACAGGAAAGGUGGACAUCAUGCUGUGAGAGUUGGAGAUCCGUUCUUUGGUGCUCGAUACAUCGCUCAAAGGAAGCUUGGUUGGGGCAAUUUCUCCACUGUUUGGCUCGCUUACGAUACCCAAUGCUCUG